RNAcentral lists this ribosomal RNA (456 nucleotides) under uncultured bacterium. RNAcentral's name for it is "bacterial SSU rRNA". It matches the Rfam family "Bacterial small subunit ribosomal RNA", at positions 340 to 786 of the family's 1533-position model. The record is from RNAcentral.
UACGGGAGGCAGCAGUGGGGAAUAUUGCACAAUGGGCGCAAGCCUGAUGCAGCCAUGCCGCGUGUAUGAAGAAGGCCUUCGGGUUGUAAAGUACUUUCAGUCGUGAGGAAGGUGUUAAGGUUAAUAACCUUAGCAAUUGACGUUAGCGACAGAAGAAGCACCGGCUAACUCCGUGCCAGCAGCCGCGGUAAUACGGAGGGUGCGAGCGUUAAUCGGAAUUACUGGGCGUAAAGGGCACGCAGGCGGUUAAUUAAGUUGGAUGUGAAAUCCCCGGGCUUAACCUGGGAAUGGCAUUCAAGACUGGUUAGCUAGAGUCUUGUAGAGGGGGUAGAAUUCCAUGUGUAGCGGUGAAAUGCGUAGAGAUGUGGAGGAAUACCGGUGGCGAAGGCGGCCCCUGGGACAAAGACUGACGCUCAUGUGCGAAAGCGUGGGGAGCGAAACAGGGAUUUAGAUACC